CACUUUCUGAAGAAUAGACUUCUAAUCAUAAGCUUGAUUUAGUUACAGAGGUGCCUGUGGCUUUCAAACGACUCCUGUUUUGUCCCAGUGAACAGAAAAUAGAGAUUGGGAGAAAGUGUAUUAAGGGUUUUAUAAAUGGAAACAUUUUAACUUAGAAUUGAUGAGUUUAAAAAAAAAUAAGCUUUACCAAUACUCUCACUGACAGUGUUUAAGGAAACUUCUGUUUACUGAAACACGAUAAAGGUGACGUGUAGAAAUUACCAUGGAAGUGAUUCAAGACUCCAUUAUUCCAUUGCUUAGGAAAACAGAAUUCAAGAAGAUUUGCUAUGGAAAUUGCCUGAUUAAGCCAAGAAAUCAUCUGGAAAUCAGACUGAUUUAAAACCUGGGAUCUUCUAGCACAUCCUAGACACCUUUAAUCUUAUAAUUCCACAGGGAGCUGACAGUGACCCAGGAGUGACAGAAGGAAAGAAUUUUAUUGCGGAGGGGAAGACUACGUAAUCCGUGAAGUAAAAUAGAAUACAGAGGUGGAAGAUCGAGGCAAUUCCCCAGGAGGUGCUGCCCUCUCAUACCACUGGGUUUGGACGGGCAGUUUCAUGCACAGGAAUCUAGGAUCCUUGGCAACCACUACGAAGAUGGUCUCCGCUCUUCAAAGAUCUGGCAGCCAGAGACAGCACCUGGAAUCUUACCUCAUUUUCCUAGGAUCCAGCCUCCACAGCUGUCCUUAAUUUUUCUUGGAU
Long non-coding RNA from Bos indicus x Bos taurus (hybrid cattle), 737 nucleotides. NCBI's taxonomy places the organism in Eukaryota, Metazoa, Chordata, Mammalia, Artiodactyla, Bovidae. The record is from Ensembl.